AGGACGAACGCUGGCGGCGUGCCUAACACAUGCAAGUCGAACGCGCUCCAUUCGGUAGCAAUACUGAUGAAGAGCGAGUGGCGAACGGGUGAGUAGCACGUGAGCAACCUGCCCCGAAGACCGGGACAACACCGGGAAACCGGUGCUAAUACCGGAUAUCCCUAUCGGACCGCAUGAUCUGAUAAGGAAAUGGAUUCCGCUUCGGGAGGGGCUCGCGGCCUAUCAGCUAGUUGGUGAGGUAACGGCCCACCAAGGCAUCGACGGGUAGCUGGUCUGAGAGGACGAUCAGCCACACUGGGACUGAGACACGGCCCAGACUCCUACGGGAGGCAGCAGUGGGGAAUCUUGCGCAAUGGGCGAAAGCCUGACGCAGCAACGCCGCGUGGAGGACGAAGGCUUUCUGAGUUGUAAACUCCUUUCAGCAGGGACGAUAGUGACGGUACCUGCAGAAGAAGCACCGGCCAACUACGCGCCAGCAGCCG
This 482-nucleotide ribosomal RNA is filed under the name uncultured bacterium. RNAcentral describes it as "SSU rRNA". It matches the Rfam family "Bacterial small subunit ribosomal RNA", at positions 26 to 517 of the family's 1533-position model. The record is from RNAcentral.